Molecule: long non-coding RNA, 1686 nt
Organism: Pecten maximus
Lineage: Eukaryota; Metazoa; Mollusca; Bivalvia; Pectinida; Pectinidae
Exons: 10
Source: RefSeq, a predicted model, not a curated record
UUUCUGUCUAAUUGCAGUUCACAAAAAGGAAGUUAACAGCCCGAGAAUGUGAGCAAACCAUGUCAAAUGAUGAAGUGAAUGCAUCCUGUAGACGAAAGUCCUCUAAAACUUCCAAGGUGACAGAUAAAGCCAAGGAAAAAUCUAUUCCUACAAGUACUGGGUCCUUACCAAGUUCAUCACUUUGUCACAACAGAAGUAAACGCAUUCCUAGAACCAAAUUUGUUGGACGGCGUAUCAGUCAUCAACGGGAAGAUCAAACCAAAAGCAAAAAAUGGUACGUCGGAACUGUAACUGGUACAUUGUCUGGAAACGAUGGAGCUCCAACAACUGAGUAUGAAGUGUUGUACGAUGGUGAACAAGAUCCUUGGUGUGUAAAAGGUCUCCUGCAAGAUUACAGAUCUUCAUCUCUCAAAUUCAUUGAUGUGUGAACAUAACAACAGCUUGUUUAUGAUCAGUUUGGCUUGUGAAUAGAUACAGUAAUAGUAAAUCAUUAGGGACUGGAUUCUCACCCAUGAUUCAUGUUGAUGGUUUGAGGACUUUCGCUUUGUCAGUUUUAAAUCAUUGCAACUUUUACAACUUAUUAACCUGAAAGUGCACUACAAUGUAUAUGAUGUCCAUGGUAAUUAUGAGUGACUUUCUCAUCAUCUACGAAGAGGAUGCUUGGAAAAUAGUUGCACUGGUUUGAGUGUAUUUGAUCAUGUAGGAUAUAUACAUAUAUACCCAAGAACUCAUCCUUGUAUUCUUGAAAAAACAAAACUUGCAACCUUGGUUUCACUUCCACCACACCAUAUGGAUCCAACUUCAUUCACCACUGUCAUUGAAAGGAUAUAAUACACCAUCUUGGUGUGAUUUGUGCAAUUACAUUGCUGAAUUGUGUGGUUCAGUAUGAUUGGAUGAUCAACAUUGGAAAAGGACAAUAAAUAGGGAAUGUGUCGUCCCAUCGAAUGGACUGUAAUCUUUGUGAUCAGUUGACAAGGAUUAACCAAGUGCUGAAAUACAAGAGUAUGGUACCGGUUUACCAAGAAAACAGACAUAGCCUGGCUUGUAAGAAACUGUGGAGGCUUUUAUUGGGACCAGAGAGAGGACAUUUGAGAGAUGCUAUCAACUACCAAUAUCUACCUUUAAAUAGAAAAGGCUACAAGGGGCAAACAAAUCAAUGGCUACGUGAGGAACGGAAAAACAAAGGAUAUGAGAAGGAAGAGAGUCUGCUUAUAGAGGAGGACAAGAAUCUGGAUGAACUUUAAAAUGAAGUAACACAGACCAGGCUGAGCUAGCCAAUCAAUUGUGUAAAUAUGUAAUACCAGGCAAUGGCAGGCAUGAAGUGAAGAAAGACAUGAUGGAGGUGGUGAAGAAGGCUACUAAACCUGUCAACUCAUUAGUUAUACAGAAUUAUGUUACAUUACAUUCAACAAAGAUGUUUAGCAAGCUCAUAUGAAGCAUGCCCAUCAAGAGGUACACUGUUGAGCUAGCAGUAAUGUAAUGCAGAUUUCAUGAAUUCUCACUUUGAGGAGUAAUACCUAGGUUUGGCCAUUUUUGUGACUUAAAAUUAUUCCCUGCCACAUCUUAUCACAAAGUAACUUAUAAGAAGAAACUGUUGGCAUCUACAGCAAUUUAUUGAAGAUAUUGAGAAACUACAUGUCAAGACAAACAUUUUGGUAUAUUACAUGACAAGUUUUGUCCAAACAU